This 48-nucleotide ribosomal RNA is filed under the name Annulohypoxylon stygium. RNAcentral describes it as "partial 28S ribosomal RNA". The record is from RNAcentral. Lineage: Eukaryota; Fungi; Ascomycota; Sordariomycetes; Xylariales; Hypoxylaceae.
GGUUGACCUCGGAUUAGGUAGGAAUACCCGCUGAACUUAAGCUAUAAA